UCAUCAUAUAUAUAGUUUCUUUCUCAAGCUCCUCCAAAUCACUUUUCCAAAACAAUUUCUGUCUAGCAUUUCAUCCUCUCCUCUCCUCAGACAAAAUUCUAUGGAUCUGCCCUCUGUAAAUUUACUCAACAAAUACAAGCUCAUUCUCAGCACUUUCAAUCGGUUCCCUUUCUCUCCAGAAUUUCACACGCAAAACAACCAUCUUCUUGAGCAACCUCUACCCCAGAACCAAAUUCAGCCAUACAUCAAAACCUUGUGCGGCGCGACUAGGACAGAACUUUCAUUACAUUACUCAAGUCAGUUAUCAAGUUCAAGUUUCAAGUGUGAGAUUUAUUUAAUACAUGUUAUUAAUUUUAAUCCAUUUUAAUAUUAUGUAUUUAUCAUAUGUGAGUUAAAUUAUAUAUAUCGCUAGGGGCCCGUUGAAUGGGUCUAGGACGGAAAGGUCCUUGGUAUGCCAAAAUGCGAUUUAAAUGUAAAAGUUAAGGUUGCAACCAUAUAUUAAAUGACCAGGGGCCCGCUGAAUGGGUCCAGGACGAAAAGGUCAUUUGUAUGCCACCGUGCAAGUAAAUGUUAUGAAUGUUAAUAUCGUAUGUGUUACCGUUUUAUUAACUUGGACAAUUAUUGCAUAUUCCCACAUUGAGUAUACUCUGUAUGCUCAUCCCACAUUUA
Salvia miltiorrhiza (redroot sage) is the source of this 669-nucleotide long non-coding RNA. RefSeq lists it as uncharacterized. The record is from RefSeq and is a predicted model, not a curated record. The transcript has 3 exons. Lineage: Eukaryota; Viridiplantae; Streptophyta; Magnoliopsida; Lamiales; Lamiaceae.